This 465-nucleotide ribosomal RNA is filed under the name Vreelandella stevensii. RNAcentral describes it as "partial 16S ribosomal RNA". It matches the Rfam family "Bacterial small subunit ribosomal RNA", at positions 338 to 795 of the family's 1533-position model. Lineage: Bacteria; Pseudomonadati; Pseudomonadota; Gammaproteobacteria; Oceanospirillales; Halomonadaceae. The record is from RNAcentral.
CCUACGGGAGGCAGCAGUGGGGAAUAUUGGACAAUGGGCGAAAGCCUGAUCCAGCCAUGCCGCGUGUGUGAAGAAGGCCUUCGGGUUGUAAAGCACUUUCAGUGGGGAAGAAAGCCUUGGGGCUAAUACCCUCGAGGAAGGACAUCACCCACAGAAGAAGCACCGGCUAACUCCGUGCCAGCAGCCGCGGUAAUACGGAGGGUGCGAGCGUGAAUCGGAAUUACUGGGCGUAAAGCGCGCGUAGGCGGUCUGAUAAGCCGGUUGUGAAAGCCCCGGGCUCAACCUGGGAACGGCAUCCGGAACUGUCAGGCUAGAGUGCAAGAGAGGAAGGUAGAAUGCGCGGAGUAGCGGUGAAAUGCGUAGAGAUCGGGAAGAAUACCAGUGGCGAAGGCGGCCUUCUGGACUGUCACUGACGCUGAGGUGCGAAAGCGUGGGUAGCAAACAGGAUUAGAUACCCUUGUAGUC